AGCGGUGGAGCAUGUGGUUUAAUUCGAAGCUACGCGAAGAACCUUACCAGGUCUUGACAUCUUCUGCCAAUCUUAGAGAUAAGACGUUCCCUUCGGGGACAGAAUGACAGGUGGUGCAUGGUUGUCGUCAGCUCGUGUCGUGAGAUGUUGGGUUAAGUCCCGCAACGAGCGCAACCCUUAUUAUCAGUUGCCAGCAUUCAGUUGGGCACUCUGGUGAGACUGCCGGUGACAAACCGGAGGAAGGUGGGGAUGACGUCAAAUCAUCAUGCCCCUUAUGACCUGGGCUACACACGUGCUACAAUGGACGGUACAACGAGUCGCGAAGUCGUGAGGCUAAGCUAAUCUCUUAAAGCCGUUCUCAGUUCGGAUUGUAGGCUGCAACUCGCCUACAUGAAGUUGGAAUCGCUAGUAAUCGCGGAUCAGCAUGCCGCGGUGAAUACGUUCCCGGGCCUUGUACACACCGCCCGUCACACCAUGAGA
This 480-nucleotide ribosomal RNA is filed under the name Levilactobacillus brevis. Its description in RNAcentral is "bacterial SSU rRNA". It matches the Rfam family "Bacterial small subunit ribosomal RNA", at positions 928 to 1409 of the family's 1533-position model. Lineage: Bacteria; Bacillati; Bacillota; Bacilli; Lactobacillales; Lactobacillaceae. The record is from RNAcentral.